RNAcentral lists this ribosomal RNA (301 nucleotides) under uncultured bacterium. Its description in RNAcentral is "partial 16S ribosomal RNA". It matches the Rfam family "Bacterial small subunit ribosomal RNA", at positions 509 to 807 of the family's 1533-position model. The record is from RNAcentral.
CAGCAGCCGCGGGAAAACAGAGGGUGCGAGCGUUAAUCGGAUUUACUGGGCGUAAAGCGUGCGUAGGCGGCUUCUUAAGUCGGAUGUGAAAUCCCUGAGCUUAACUUAGGAAUUGCAUUCGAUACUGGGAAGCUAGAGUAUGGGAGAGGAUGGUAGAAUUCCAGGUGUAGCGGUGAAAUGCGUAGAGAUCUGGAGGAAUACCGAUGGCGAAGGCAGCCAUCUGGCCUAAUACUGACGAUGAGGUACGAAAGCAUGGGGAGCAAACAGGAUUAGAUACCCCUGUAGUCCCUGUCUCUUAUAC